Molecule: long non-coding RNA, 864 nt
Filed under: Sorghum bicolor (sorghum)
Lineage: Eukaryota; Viridiplantae; Streptophyta; Magnoliopsida; Poales; Poaceae
Description: long non-coding RNA (SBIC_LNC011190)
Source: RNAcentral
CCUCGCCGCUAAACCCCUACCACAAAUCUAGGAGAGCUGGAUAAUGAUGUCGCUGCUUCCUUGUAUAUGUCCAGGUAAAGUUCAUCAUCUUCCAUAUAUAUCUACAUCGAUUUGAUCUGUGUGAAUUGUUGAUUGGAAAGUUUCAAACGCUGCGUGCACUUUCCUUUUUAUUCUACAAAAUUUGCCACCCAGCUUGAAUUAUUUUGAUUAUUUUGCAAGUUAAGCACAAAAUAUAAUAAAUCAAAUAGCUUUGCAAAAAGUUAGACAUAAAAGAUAAUAAUUAUAAGUUAAUAUCUACUAGUUACACGUAGAAAGUUAGAUAUAAAAGUUGCAUACAUAAAGUUAGACAUAAAAGUUACGUGCAGAAAGUUAAUAAUUACAAAUUAUAUGGUUAAAAUUUACAUCUAGCAUUUUAAAAUAAAUGAUUUACUUUUUUAUGACAUCAGUGGUGGUUAUGGAAAAAGCACACUAGAAGGGGAGAUAGUUUAAACCUUUGUUACAUCAAAUCUAAGUGAACGAUCGUCCAAAUAAAAUAAGAGUUGAUAGCAUAUAUAAAAAGAAAAAAAAUGAUAGACUUAUAUAAAGAAUAAAAAGAGAAAAAAAAAGACAAAAGAAAAAUCUUUUAUAACUUUUGUGUUUCAAAUUUUAGCAUAAGUUGUAAGUUAUAUGGUAUAAGUCAUAUGGUAAUAAGUUUUGCAAAGUGUUAUGCCAAGUUGCUAGUAUAAUUUAUAGAAAUAAGUUAUGUUCUAUAACAUAUAUAUGUAUAACUUAGUUACCUUCUAAAAAUGGAAAGUUGCGGAAAUUAUCAUUUCCAAAUAAGGAAAGUUGCGGUAGUAGCUGAUGGUUCGCUGGAUUUGUUACCGG